RNAcentral lists this ribosomal RNA (400 nucleotides) under uncultured Glomeromycotina. RNAcentral describes it as "SSU rRNA". It matches the Rfam family "Eukaryotic small subunit ribosomal RNA", at positions 569 to 973 of the family's 1831-position model. Lineage: Eukaryota; Fungi; Glomeromycota. The record is from RNAcentral.
CGCAGCCGCGGUAAUUCCAGCUCCAAUAGCGUAUAUUAAAGUUGUUGCAGUUAAAAAGCUCGUAGUUGAAUUUCGAGAUCAGUACGCUGGUCGUGCCUUCGGUAUGCACUGGUGUCACUGGUUUCUCCCUUCUGAAGAACCGUAAUGCCAUUCAGUUGGUGUGGCGGGGAAUCAGGAUUGUUACUUUGAAAAAAUUAGAGUGUUUAAAGCAGGCUCGCGCUUGAAUACAUUAGCAUGGAAUAAUGAAAUAGGACGUUUGAUCCUAUUUUGUUGGUUUCUAGAAUCGACGUAAUGAUUAAUAGGGAUAGUUGGGGGCAUUAGUAUUCAAUUGUCAGAGGUGAAAUUCUUGGAUUUAUUGAAGACUAACUACUGCGAAAGCAUUUGCCAAGGAUGUUUUCAU